CUAUUGACAUGGCUCAGGAUGAACGCUGGCGGCGGCCUAAUACAUGCAAGUCGAGCGAACAGAUGAGAAGCUGCUUCUCUGAUGUUAGCGGCGGACGGGUGAGUAACACGUGGGUAACCUACAUAAGACUGGGAUAACUCCGGGAAACCGGGGCUAAUACCGGAUAAUAUUUUGAACCGCAUGGUUCAAUAUGAAGACGGUUUCGACUGUCACUUAUAGAUGGACCCGCGCCGUAUUAGCUAGUUGGUAAGGUAAUGGCUUACCAAGGCAACGAUACGUAGCCGACCUGAGAGGGUGAUCGGCCACACUGGAACUGAGACACGGUCCAGACUCCUACGGAGGCAGCAGUAGGGAAUCUUCCGCAAUGGGCGAAAGCCUGACGGAGCAACGCCUUGUGAGUGAUGAAGGUCUUAGGAUCGUAAAACUCUGUUGUUAGGGACUCACAAAUAGGUUAGUAACUGAACAAGUCUUGACGGUACCUAACGUGAAAGCCACGGCUAACUACGUGCCAGCAGCCGCGGUAAUACGUAGGUGGCAAGCGUUAUCCGGAGCUAUUGGGCGUAAAGCGCGCGUAGGCGGUUUCUAGAGUCUGAUGUGAAAGCCCACGGCUCAACCGUGGAGGGUCAUUGGAAACUGGCGAACUUGAGUGCAGAAGAGGAGAGUGGAAUUCCAUACGUAGCGGUGAAAUGCGCAGAGAUAUGGAGGAACACCAGUGGCGAAGGCGGCUCUCUGGUCUGUAACUGACGCUGAUGUGCGAAAGCGUGCUGAUCAAACAGGAUUAGAUACCCUGGUAGUCCACGCCGUAAACGAUGAGUGCUAAGUGUUAGGGGACUUCCGCCCCUUAGUGCUGCAGCUAACGCAUUAAGCACUCCGCCUGGGGAGUACGACCGCAAGGUUGAAUUUCAAAGGAAUUGACGGGGACCCGCACAAGCGGUGGAGCAUGUGGUUUAAUUCGAAGCAACGCGAAGACGCUUACCAAAUCUUGACAUCCUUUGAUCGCUCUAGAGAUAGAGUAGUGAGCUACGGGGACAAAGUGACAGGUGGUGCAUGGUUGUCGUCAGCUCGUGCGUGAGAUGUUGGGUUAAGUCCCGCAACGAGCGCAACCCUAAGCUUAGUUGCCAUCAUUAAGUUGGGCACUCUAGGUUGACUGCCGGUGACAAACCGGAGGAAGGUGGGGAUGACGUCAAUCAUCAUGCCCCUUAUGAUUUGGGCUACACACGUGCUACAAUGGAUAAUACAAAGGGCAGCGAACCGCGAGGUCAAGCAAAUCCCAUCAAAUUAUUCUCAGUUCGGAUUGUAGUCUGCAACUCGACUACAUGAAGCUGGAAUCGCUAGUAAUCGUAGAUCAGCAUGCUACGGUGAAUACGUUCCCGGGUCUUGUACACACCGCCCGUCACACCACGAGAGUUUAACACCGAAGCCGGUGGAGUAACCUUAUUAGGAGCUAGUACGCGAAGGUGGGACAGAUGAUUGGACCGAAGUCGUAACAAGGUCGCCGUA
RNAcentral lists this ribosomal RNA (1500 nucleotides) under uncultured Staphylococcus sp. RNAcentral describes it as "bacterial SSU rRNA". It matches the Rfam family "Bacterial small subunit ribosomal RNA". The record is from RNAcentral. Lineage: Bacteria; Bacillati; Bacillota; Bacilli; Caryophanales; Staphylococcaceae.